RNA transcript from Helianthus annuus (common sunflower), 1581 nucleotides. RefSeq lists it as uncharacterized. The record is from RefSeq and is a predicted model, not a curated record. The transcript is spliced from 3 exons. NCBI's taxonomy places the organism in Eukaryota, Viridiplantae, Streptophyta, Magnoliopsida, Asterales, Asteraceae.
AUUAAUUGAGCAUGUUACAAUUUGAAUGGGCGGGCAAAUAUUUUCGCACUCCAAAUGUUAGGGUUUUGAAUAGAAUCCCAAAAUUAACCAUUCAUUCAUAUUCCAACUUGCUCUUCUCCAACACCUCCGUUUACUUCCUAAACCCUAAAUUUGUUUCCCUCAUUUCAGUACUCCUGCUGUUAGGGUUUUGGUGUGCUUGUGAUGAAGAGUGAUGGGAAAAGACAUUCAUGGCGGAAGCAUACGGCGGAGGAACUUCCAGAAGUGGAACCUAGACGAUCUUGUUCUUGCUAUGGUGAAAGUAUUUCCCGUUUGGCCUGCUACAGUAUGUUUGUUGAUUAUUGAUUAUAUGAAUUUGGUAGAGGUGAUGUCUGAUGUAUGUUCAUUUGCAUUUAGUUGGGUUUUGUUUGACUGGUUUGUUAGUGUUGAAUAGAUUAUGCACUAGGUUAACUGAAUGAGUUGUUGAUGACGAACUGUUGUCUAUUCUGCACACAGCCAUUUCGGCUUCAUUUAGAAGAUCCAUCUGAUAGCAUGAAAUUGCGAAUUAGUAUCUGGACUGAGGCAUUUGUGUUCCUUCAUAUUAAAAUUGAGACAAGCAUGUUAAAAAACAAUUAGAGGUUGCUCUCAGUUUUGAAGUAACACAACAAAAAUCCCGAGGAUUUCCAGUUUGUAUUUAAAGGUUGCUUUGAAUCUACCAAAUAGUAUAAUGAAAAAGGUAAACUUACCCUUCAUUUUUAUAUGCACUGGUGUGCACCCAAUUGCUUUCUAAAGUUAUAUUAGAGUUUUUGAUAUUUCAUAGUGAGUAUAAAAUAGCCCUGUUCAAGUAUCAAUAUGUUAAAAUGAAAAAGGUCACCAACACAAAUGGGCUAAUCAAAUUGAUGCAUGCUUGUUAUUAGCAUUUUGAUAAAUUCGGAGAACACCAGGCUAAUGAUGUUAGAGAUUUGCAAACAAAAAAUGUUCUUUCUUUUUUACAGAGUUUGCUGAUUUAGGGUUUCAUAUCCCAAAACCCCAAUUUCCUCAUGACAAAUCGAUUAUGACGUGAUUUCAAACCAUAUUUAGAUUGAUCAUCAUGUUGAUUAUUGAUAUCCUCUGUCUUGGCUCGACAUCCAAGCUAAGAGCAUUGGAAGAAGAUGAAUCUGUUUGAAUCACAUAUAAUCUUUCUGUUUGCAAGUGAAAAUGGCAACUCCUCUUAAGGAGCUUCUGAUUGAUGAAAAAAGGGUGGUGCUAAAAACGGCAACUCAGAGCUUGGUGGUUUUGUUGUCGUCGCCAAAGUUGGCAUUAUGGUUUAAAGUUAAAUGCGGUCACAAGUCUCUUAUGAUGAGUCCUAGCUUUUGGGGAUAUUCAUCUCAGCAACAAAACUUUUGACUCAGUUGUGGAUUGCUUUUAAGGGUUCUCUACCCGUUUCACAAAAUAGGGCGUGUUAUCGGAAGGGGAGGGGCCUCUAUUAAAAGUGUUAGAGAAGCUAGUGGUGCUCGUGUUGAUGUUGAUGACACUAGAUGCGAUGAAUGCAUUGUAACAGUCCAAGCAACAAUAGUAUGCAUUUUAUUUUGGUUUAAUCACUCAUAAAGAUCCUUUUUUGAUUCU